CAAGGAAUUUUCCACAAUGGGCGCAAGCCUGAUGGAGCAACGCCGCGUGGGGGAUGACGCACUUCGGUGUGUAAACCCCUUUUCGAGGGGACGAAGGCAAUGACGGUACCCUCGGAAGAAGGAUCGGCUAACUACGUGCCAGCAGCCGCGGUAAGACGUAGGAUCCGAGCGUUGUCCGGAGUUACUGGGCGUAAAGCGCGCGCAGGCGGGCACGCGCAUCGGCGGUGAAAGCCCCCCGCUCAACGGGGGAGGGUCCGUCGAGAUGGCGUGUCUGGAGGCAGGGAGAGGCCAGUGGAAUUCCGGGUGUAGUGGUGAAAUGCGUAGAGAUCCGGAGGAACACCAGUGGCGAAGGCGGCUGGCUGGACCUGACCUGACGCUGAGGCGCGAAGGCGUGGGGAGCGAACGGGAUUAGAUACCCCGGUAGUCCACGCAGUAAACGAUGAGUACUAGGUGUGGCGGGAGUUGACCCCUGCCGUGCCGGCGCUAACGCAGUAAGUACCCCG
RNAcentral lists this ribosomal RNA (503 nucleotides) under uncultured Chloroflexota bacterium. RNAcentral describes it as "bacterial SSU rRNA". It matches the Rfam family "Bacterial small subunit ribosomal RNA", at positions 355 to 871 of the family's 1533-position model. The record is from RNAcentral. Lineage: Bacteria; Bacillati; Chloroflexota.